UAGAUGCGAGAGUAGAGCAUAUCAAUAAGCGGAGGAAAAGAAACUAACUAGGAUUCCCUCAGUAACGGCGAGUGAAGCGGGAAGAGCUCAAAUUUGAAAUCUUCAAGGUUCUACCUUGACGAAUUGUAGUUUAAAGAAGUGUUUUCUGUUGGAGUUUUGGUAAAAGUUCUUUGGAAUAGGACAUCAUAGAGGGUGAGAAUCCCGUAUUUGACCAUUAUUUCCAACUUUGUGAUACACUUUCAAAGAGUCGGAUUGUUUGGGAAUGCAGUCCAAAAUGGGUGGUAAAUUUCAUCUAAAGCUAAAUACUGGCGAGAGACCGAUAGCGAACAAGUACCGUGAGGGAAAGAUGAAAAGAACUUCGAAAAGAGAGUUAAACAGUACGUGAAAUCGUCAAAAGGGAAGCGUUUGACACCAGUGUUGUUUUCUCGAAAAUCAAUUAAAAAUGGCUGGGAUUUUGUGUUGUAUUGACUUUAUCAGCUUUCUGCACUUUUUUCCUAUCUUUUUUAAUGCACUUUUCGUUUAACAAGUCAACAUCAAUUUCUUUUGUUGUAAAAGAGUCAUUGGAAGGUGGCUUUCUUUUCGGAGAAAGUGUUUAUAGCCUUUGACUUCUGCAAUCGGAGAGAUUGAGGUCUGCAGCGUAGACCCUUCGGGGUUAGAUACAUUUGUGCUAAGCUAUAGCCUUUCAUAGACAACUUGUUGACUAUGAUCAGUCAUGUAACUUACUCGCUUAUGUCAUUUUACCUACGCUUAGGAUGUUGACGCGCGUGUGUGCGUG
RNAcentral lists this ribosomal RNA (775 nucleotides) under uncultured Neocallimastigales. Its description in RNAcentral is "partial large subunit ribosomal RNA". It matches the Rfam family "Eukaryotic large subunit ribosomal RNA", at positions 22 to 637 of the family's 3401-position model. Lineage: Eukaryota; Fungi; Neocallimastigomycota; Neocallimastigomycetes; Neocallimastigales. The record is from RNAcentral.